GACGAACGCUGGCGGCGUGCCUAAUACAUGCAAGUAGGACGCAGUUGCGAACGUAUGAGUAACUCGUAGUUAACUCCCUAUUAGAGGGGGAUAACUAAUGGAAACUAUAGCUAAUACCGCAUACUACUAGAUGGACCUGCGUUGUAUUAGCUAGUAGGUAGGGUAAUGGCCUACCUAGGCGACGCUACAUAGCCGACCUGAGAGGGUGAUCGGCCACACUGGGACUGAGACACGGCCCAGACUCCUACGGGAGGCAGCAGUAGGGAAUCUUCGGCAAUGGGGGGAACCCUGACCGAGCAACGCCGCGUGAGUGAAGAAGGUUUUCGGAUUGUAAAGCUCUGUUGUUAAGGAAGCGGUACUUAACCAGAAAGGGACGGCUAACUACGUGCCAGCAGCCGCGGUAAUAC
Molecule: ribosomal RNA, 407 nt
Filed under: uncultured bacterium
Lineage: Bacteria
Description: partial 16S ribosomal RNA
Rfam family: Bacterial small subunit ribosomal RNA
Source: RNAcentral